CGACGAGUCGUCUUUUAGAUGACGAAGUGGUUGAUGCCAUGCUUCCAAGAAAAGCUUCUAAGCUUCAGGUAACCAGGAACCGUACCCCAAACCGACACAGGUGGUCGGGUAGAGAAUACCAAGGCGCUUGAGAGAACUCGGGUGAAGGAACUAGGCAAAAUGGCACCGUAACUUCGGGAGAAGGUGCGCCGGCUAGGGUGAAGGAUUUACUCCGUAAGCUCUGGCUGGUCGAAGAUACCAGGCCGCUGCGACUGUUUAUUAAAAACACAGCACUCUGCAAACACGAGAGUGGACGUAUAGGGUGUGACGCCUCCCCAGUGCCGGAAGGUUAAUUGAUGGGGUUAGCGCAAGCGAAGCUCUUGAUCGAAGCCCCGGUAAACGGCGGCCGUAACGAUAACGGUCCUAAGGUAGCGAAAUUCCUUGUCGGGUAAGCUCCGACCUGCACGAAUGGCGUAACGAUGGCGGCGCUGUCUCCACCCGAGACUCAGUGAAGUUGAAAUCGCUGUGAAGAUGCAGUGUAUCCGCGGCUAGACGGAAAGACCCCGUGAACCUUUACUGUAGCUUUGCACUGGACUUUGAGCCUGCUUGUGUAGGAUAGGUGGGAGGCUUUGAAGCGUGGACGCCAGUUCGCGUGGAGCCAUCCUUGAAAUACCACCCUGGCAUGCUUGAGGUUCUAACUCUGGUCCGUAAUCCGGAUCGAGGACAGUGUAUGGUGGGCAGUUUGACUGGGGCGGUCUCCUCCUAAAGAGUAACGGAGGAGUACGAAGGUGCGCUCAGACCGGUCGGAAAUCGGUCGCAGAGUAUAAAGGCAAAAGCGCGCUUGACUGCGAGACAGACUCGUCGAGCAGGUACGAAAGUAGGUCUUAGUGAUCCGGUGGUUCUGUAUGGAAGGGCCAUCGCUCAACGGAUAAAAGGUACUCCGGGGAUAACAGGCUGAUACCGCCCAAGAGUUCAUAUCGACGGCGGUGUUUGGCACCUCGAUGUCGGCUCAUCACAUCCUGGGGCUGAAGCCGGUCCCAAGGGUAUGGCUGUUCGCCAUUUAAAGUGGUACGCGAGCUGGGUUUAGAACGUCGUGAGACAGUUCGGUCCCUAUCUGCCGUGGACGUUUGAGAUUUGAGAGGGGCUGCUCCUAGUACGAGAGGACCGGAGUGGACGAACCUCUGGUGUUCCGGUUGUCACGCCAGUGGCAUUGCCGGGUAGCUAUGUUCGGAAAAGAUAACCGCUGAAAGCAUCUAAGCGGGAAACUUGCCUCAAGAUGAGAUCUCACUGGGAGCUUGAUUCCCCUGAAGGGCCGUCGAAGACUACGACGUUGAUAGGCUGGGUGUGUAAGCGUUGUGAGGCGUUGAGCUAACCAGUACUAAUUGCC
Molecule: ribosomal RNA, 1366 nt
Filed under: metagenome
Description: bacterial LSU rRNA
Rfam family: Bacterial large subunit ribosomal RNA
Source: RNAcentral